Molecule: ribosomal RNA, 450 nt
Filed under: uncultured bacterium
Lineage: Bacteria
Description: partial 16S ribosomal RNA
Rfam family: Bacterial small subunit ribosomal RNA
Source: RNAcentral
GUGAGGAAUAUUGGACAAUGGGCGCAAGCCUGAUCCAGCAAUGCCGCGUGCAGGAAGAAGGCCUUCGGGUUGUAAACUGCUUUUGUACGGAACGAAAAGGCUCUGGUUAAUACCUGGGGCUCAUGACGGUACCGUAAGAAUAAGCACCGGCUAACUACGUGCCAGCAGCCGCGGUAAUACGUAGGGUGCAAGCGUUAAUCGGAAUUACUGGGCGUAAAGCGUGCGCAGGCGGUUUUGUAAGACAGACGUGAAAUCCCCGGGCUCAACCUGGGAAUGGCGCUUGGGACUGCAAGGCUGGAGUGCGGCAGAGGGGGAUGGAAUUCCGCGUGUAGCAGUGAAAUGCGUAGAUAUGCGGAGGAACACCGAUGGCGAAGGCAAUCCCCUGGGCCUGCACUGACGCUCAUGCACGAAAGCGUGGGGAGCAAACAGGAUUAGAUACCCGUGUAGUCC